AUGAUUGUUCUAUGUGGUGUUUUUCAGUUUACGUGUUGUGUGUGCGUGAUUAGGGUGUAUUGUGAAGAAGACUGUUAAGAAAGAAGACAUGUUUAUGUAUUUUUGUGUGUGUGUGAUUAGGGUGUUUUUCAGUUUAUGUGUUGUUGUGUGUGAUUACUGAUUAGGUGUAUUGUGAAGAAGAUUGUUAAGAAAGAAGACAUGUUUAUGUAUUUUUGUGUGUGUGUGUGAUCAAGUAGGGUUUAGUUUGUAGAGAAAAUAAGAUAGAAAAGAUGUUUUUUUUUUUUUUUUUUUUUAAUUUAUUUAUUUACGCUUAAGGUAUAGUAGAGGUGGGCAUACUGCCAAUGGAGCUCUGUUGGUGUCUCUUUGUAAAACUCUCUUGAUGAUUUUACCAGCUAUCAGUGUUCACUUGUUACACACACGAAGAAACAGUGUAAUGAUUCAUUUCAAAAAGAAGAUAUCAUCAUAAAAAGCAAGCAAGCACAUUUACUUCUACUGUACCAGCAUUUGAUGAUGCAUGUAACAAGAAGAAAAAAAGGACAAGGAGGUAGGGCAAGAGAUAAUUGAGAAACUUAAUGUACAGCCAAUAUGCACUUAUGAUCUCUAUGAAAAACAUGCUUUUAGAUUGUACCUUCUGUCAUACUCAUUAUUGCUCCCAGAGGGAGGUGAGUUCUUCUGUGCAUGAUGCAUGUUAUGGGGUAAAAGAAAUUCUUCCAAAAUGGCCUUCUGUAUCUUUGUUUUUUCGUUAAGGGAAAGUUUUAUUAUU
This 763-nucleotide long non-coding RNA is filed under the name Helianthus annuus (common sunflower). Lineage: Eukaryota; Viridiplantae; Streptophyta; Magnoliopsida; Asterales; Asteraceae. The record is from RNAcentral.